Long non-coding RNA from Carassius gibelio (silver crucian carp), 410 nucleotides. RefSeq lists it as uncharacterized. The record is from RefSeq and is a predicted model, not a curated record. The transcript has 3 exons. NCBI's taxonomy places the organism in Eukaryota, Metazoa, Chordata, Actinopteri, Cypriniformes, Cyprinidae.
UCAGGUCAAAACCAUUAACUACUUAUUCUCACUGAGGUUCUGCUGCUCAGAUAUAGUAAAUAUGAUUUGAAGUUAUGGUCAGUGAUGUUUCUUGCUGAUGUUUAGCACUCGCAGACUGCAGUCUUCACAUUGUUGUCUCCUCAUCAAGUCCUCAAGGUUUAGUCAUCUAGUGCCAUCUAGUGACAUCAUUUCCACACCAGGGAGAUCAGCACUCGCAGACUGCAGUCUUCACAUUGCUGUCUCCUCAUCAAGUCCUCGAGGUGGAGAAUGAACUAAAGCCAGAAAGAGAGAUAAUACUCAUAGUUCUCACUUUCCAAAAUGUACAAUGUGCAAAGUAACAGCCAAAACAAUUGCUACAGUUACUUGUAUCUUACUUGAAUAAAUAUGAUAAAAUAAAUGAAAUAAACAAA